Molecule: ribosomal RNA, 440 nt
Filed under: uncultured bacterium
Lineage: Bacteria
Description: bacterial SSU rRNA
Rfam family: Bacterial small subunit ribosomal RNA
Source: RNAcentral
CCUACGGGUGGCAGCAGUGGGGAAUUUUCCGCAAUGGGCGCAAGCCUGACGGAGCAAGACCGCGUGAGGGAGGAAGGCCCAAGCGGUUGUAAACCUCUUUUCUCAGGGAAGAAGAAAGUGACGGUACCUGAGGAAUCAGCCUCGGCUAACUCCGUGCCAGCAGCCGCGGUAAUACGGAGGAGGCAAGCGUUAUCCGGAAUUAUUGGGCGUAAAGCGUCCGUAGGUGGUUAUGUAAGUCUGCUGUCAAAGAGCAAAGCUUAACUUUGUAAAAGCAGUGGAAACUACACAGCUAGAGUGCGUUCGGGGCAGAAGGAAUUCCUGGUGUAGCGGUGAAAUGCGUAGAGAUCAGGAAGAACACCGGUGGCGAAGGCGUUCUGCUAGGCCGCAACUGACACUGAGGGACGAAAGCUAGGGGAGCGAAUGGGAUUAGAUACCCGAGU